Molecule: ribosomal RNA, 322 nt
Filed under: uncultured cyanobacterium
Lineage: Bacteria; Bacillati; Cyanobacteriota
Description: bacterial SSU rRNA
Rfam family: Bacterial small subunit ribosomal RNA
Source: RNAcentral
AAGGCCUUUGGGUUGUAAACCUCUUUUCUCAGGGAAGAAGAUCUGACGGUACCUGAGGAAUAAGCAUCGGCUAACUCCGUGCCAGCAGCCGCGGUAAUACGGAGGAUGCAAGCGUUCACCGGAAUUAUUGGGCGUAAAGCGUCCGCAGGUGGUCUUUCAAGUCUGCUGUCAAAGACCAGAGCUUAACUCUGGGCAGGCGGUGGAAACUGAGAGACUAGAGUUCGGUAGGGGUAGCGGGAAUUCCCAGUGUAGCGGUGAAAUGCGUAGAUAUUGGGAAGAACAUCGGUGGCGAAGGCGUGCUACUGGACCGAAACUGACACUC